RNAcentral lists this unclassified non-coding RNA (290 nucleotides) under plant metagenome. RNAcentral's name for it is "partial contains small subunit ribosomal RNA, internal transcribed spacer 1, and 5.8S ribosomal RNA". The stretch from base 241 to 290 matches the Rfam family "5.8S ribosomal RNA", at positions 1 to 49 of the family's 154-position model. The record is from RNAcentral.
UUUCCGUAGGUGAACCUGCGGAAGGAUCAUUAAUGAGUUGUCAUGGGGUUCGAUGCUGGCAGCCAAUUUUUGGAUGCAUGUGCUUGCCCUAACAAUCAUCUUCCAAACACCUGUGCACAUUUUUGAGGGAGUCUUGAGUUGGUUGCCGCUCUUGGGUGAUUUUCUCACAUUCCCUUAAAUCAUUAUACGCUAUUAACAAUGUUGAACGUGCUCUGUGCCGCAAGGCUAUUAAUAUAAUACAACUUUUAACAACGGAUCUCUUGGCUCUCGCAUCGGAUGAAGAACGCAGC